UACGAAGGGGCGAGCGUUGUUCGGAAUCAUUGGGCGUAAAGGGCGCGUAGGUGGUCCUGUAUGUCUACCGUGAAAGCGUACGGCUCAACCGUAUUUUGUCGGUAGAAACUGCAGGACUUGAGGCUGGGAGGGGCUGGUGGAAUUCCCUGUGUAGCGGUGAAAUGCGUAGAGAUGGGGGAGAACACUCGUGGCGAAGGCGGCCAGCUAGACCAGUUCUGACACUGAGGCGCGACAGCGUGGGGAGCAAACAGG
RNAcentral lists this ribosomal RNA (252 nucleotides) under uncultured bacterium. RNAcentral's name for it is "partial 16S ribosomal RNA". It matches the Rfam family "Bacterial small subunit ribosomal RNA", at positions 524 to 776 of the family's 1533-position model. The record is from RNAcentral.